This is a long non-coding RNA of Symphalangus syndactylus (siamang), 536 nucleotides long. RefSeq lists it as uncharacterized. NCBI's taxonomy places the organism in Eukaryota, Metazoa, Chordata, Mammalia, Primates, Hylobatidae. The record is from RefSeq and is a predicted model, not a curated record.
UAAAAAAUAAUGAGGUGAACAGAAAUGAGGUGGCUCCCACUGGUUCACAGUGUUUUUACUCUCCAAAAGGAAAAGCAAAAGUAAAUCAGAUUACAAGCUUCUUUGAACUUUUACUGCGCUCCUGACAAUCUGUCUCUUUUGGUCAUCUCCGGUCGCGGCAGAGUGUUGUGGCCUCCCACCACCAGCAUAGUGAAACGGUACCAAGUCCCAGAUCCCUGGUUAAAGGACCUGAAGUUUCAACCCCUGAACCAGCUUAGAAGGCAAAUAGUUGUGUUCCAUGGAGAACCUCACUCUCAGUGACAACAGCAGGGGAGAAAAAAAGAAUUACUGGUCAUUUCUGGGAGAGGUGAAAUUUUAAACUCAAGGUCUCUCAGCAUGACUCAAUCUCUCAACAUGAAGCUCUAGCAGCCCUGGAAAAAUCUCUGCUUGACCAGUAUGAAACUCAAAGCUGGUGAUGCCACUGUAGGCUGCAGUCUGCCUGGCAUCCUCCACUGCCUGCCCCACCAACGAAAUCCCAAGGACCUGCGAUGUAGCUG